RNAcentral lists this ribosomal RNA (1346 nucleotides) under uncultured bacterium. RNAcentral describes it as "bacterial SSU rRNA". It matches the Rfam family "Bacterial small subunit ribosomal RNA", at positions 56 to 1408 of the family's 1533-position model. The record is from RNAcentral.
UGCAAGUCGAGCGGUAAGGCCCUUUCGGGGGUACACGAGCGGCGAACGGGUGAGUAACACGUGGGUGACCUGCCCUCAGCUCUGGGAUAAGCCUGGGAAACUGGGUCUAAUACUGGAUAUGACCUCAUGACGCAUGUUGGGGGGUGGAAAGCCUUGUGCGGCUGGGGAUGGGCCCGCGGCCUAUCAGCUUGUUGGGGGGGUGAUGGCCUACCAAGGCAACGACGGGUACCCGGCCUGAGAGGGCGACCGGCCACACUGGGACUGAGACCCGGCCCACACUCCUACGGGAGGCAGCGGUGGGUAAUCUUGCGCAAUGGGCGAAAGCCUGACGCACCGACGCCGCGUGAGGGAUGACGGCCUUCGGGUUGUAAUCCUCUUUCCCCUCCAACAAAGCGUAAGUGACGGUAGGGGCAAAAAAAGCACCGGCCAACUACGUGCCACCAGCCGCGGUAAUACGUAGGGUGCAAGCGUUGUCCGGAAAUUAUUUGGGCGUAAAGAGCUCGUAGGCGGUCUUGUCGCGUCGGGCUGUGGAAAACUUCGGGGCUUCAACUCCGAGCUUGCAGUCGAUACGGGCAGGCUAGAGUUCGGCAGGGGAGACUGGAAUUCCUGGGGGUAGCGGUGAAAUGCGCAGAUAUCAGGAGGAACACCCGUUGGCGAAGGCGGGUCUCUGGGCCGAUACUGACGCUGAGGAGCGAAAGCGUGGGGAGCGAACAGGAUUAGAUACCCUGGUAGUCCACGCCGUAAACGUUGGGCGCUAGGUGUGGGAUCCCUUCCACGGGUUCCGUGCCGCAGCUAACGCAUUAAGCGCCCCGCCUGGGGAGUACGGCCGCAAGGCUAAAACUCAAAGGAAUUGACGGGGGCCCGCACAAGCGGCGGAGCAUGUGGAUUAAUUCGAUGCAACGCGAAGAACCUUACCUGGGUUUGACAUACACCGGAAAGCCGUGGAGACAUGGCCUCCGCAAGGCCGGUGUACAGGUGGUGCAUGGCUGUCGUCAGCUCGUGUCGUGAGAUGUUGGGUUAAGUCCCGCAACGAGCGCAACCCUCGUCCCAUGUUGCCAGCGGGUUAUGCCGGGGACUCAUGGGAGACUGCCGGGGUCAACUCGGAGGAAGGUGGGGACGACGUCAAGUCAUCAUGCCCCUUAUGUCCAGGGCUUCACACAUGCUACAAUGGCCGGUACAAAGGGCUGCUAAGCCGUAAGGUGGAGCGAAUCCCACAAAGCCGGUCUCAGUUCGGAUCGGGGUCUGCAACUCGACCCCGUGAAGUCGGAGUCGCUAGUAAUCGCAGAUCAGCAACGCUGCGGUGAAUACGUUCCCGGGCCUGUACACACUGCCCGUCACAAGGCGAA